GGGCCCGUGGUCUAGUGGUUAUGACGUCUGCUUGACGUGCAGAAGGCCAAGGGUUCGAAUCCCUUCGGGCCCA
This 73-nucleotide transfer RNA is filed under the name Candidatus Parvarchaeum acidophilus ARMAN-5. It matches the Rfam family "tRNA". From Rfam's summary of the family: Transfer RNA (tRNA) molecules are approximately 80 nucleotides in length. Their secondary structure includes four short double-helical elements and three loops (D, anti-codon, and T loops). The record is from Rfam by way of RNAcentral. Lineage: Archaea; Nanobdellati; Candidatus Parvarchaeota.